CCAGACUCCUACGGGAGGCAGCAGUGGGGAAUAUUGCACAAUGGGGGAAACCCUGAUGCAGCGACGCCGCGUGAGUGAAGAAGUAUUUCGGUAUGUAAAGCUCUAUCAGCAGGGAAGAGAAUGACGGUACCUGAGUAAGAAGCCCCGGCUAACUACGUGCCAGCAGCCGCGGUAAUACGUAGGGGGCAAGCGUUAUCCGGAUUUACUGGGUGUAAAGGGAGCGUAGACGGCGAAGAAAGUCUGAAGUGAAAGCCCGCGGCUCAACCGCGGAACUGCUUUGGAAACUGCCCGGCUAGAGUGCUGGAGAGGUAAGCGGAAUUCCUAGUGUAGCGGUGAAAUGCGUAGAUAUUAGGAGGAGCACCAGUGGCGAAGGCGGCUUACUGGACAGUAACUGACGUUGAGGCUCGAAAGCGUGGGGAGCAAACAGGAUUAGAUACCCGUGUAU
This 445-nucleotide ribosomal RNA is filed under the name uncultured bacterium. RNAcentral describes it as "bacterial SSU rRNA". It matches the Rfam family "Bacterial small subunit ribosomal RNA", at positions 331 to 793 of the family's 1533-position model. The record is from RNAcentral.